UGAUUGAAUUUAUCUCGUCUACUCACUGCUCGCUUAACUACCUUUGAACGUAUCGCCGUUGUUGAUAAUUCAAUCGCGCGGACAGGGUUCACGGAGUUGACCGGGCGUGCUCGCAAAGGGAAAAGGGAAGUUUAAACAAUAAUCACAUUUCUGCUUGUUUCACGAAACUCCUCUCAAAGAGCGGCGCAUCAUUUGCCGGUGAUUUCACCAAUUAAUGGUCGAAGUGAGUUUUUUAAUCUCUCAAUCAGCCCCGACGACGUUAACGGGUCGUACUUGUUGCUGUGUAGCGCGCAUAGAAAGUCCGGACUCUGUUGAAUACGAAAGAGGCCGUGUUUGCAGGCGUGUGCACGGGUCUCGUGUCACGGGCAACUGGAUGCCUGUCUCGUUAUCCUAAUGAGUUGGCCUUAAAAUUCUCCGAGCACGCCUGAAAAUCUUUUAACCUCAGCGCCAUUCCAGCGCGACGAACGAGUUGAAAGAAUUUUAAACGCUCCUUCCUCGACGCUGCAACCGUUCCGGAAAUGCAAGGCUCUUCUUUUGAUAAACAAAUAGUCGAGCAAUUCGUUUUAUUUCUUUUAAAAAUGAAUACAAGCAUGACUAACUUCUUUCCCGUCAGUUAGCCAUACCUGUUUUACUAGAUCAUCAACAGUCUACUCCAUGCGACUAGUAUAUCACACUUUGCAAAGUACUUAUUGCUACUUUCUCCCGUUUCCUUAUCGAUAUAAAAGCCGUCUAAAUUGUCUGCUAUGUAAGAACCUGUCUCUAUUCGGCCAUUUACAUGGUCGAUAAGACGCGAAAGGAAAGGAUAAAUCAAUUUUAUCCUCGGAAUUCACAGAUUGUUUCAAUGGUUCAUCGACGUUCCCUUCCAGGCGAACGGUUAUCAAGCUACUUUAACAAACUACCGGCAUUUCACGUAACUGCUUAUCAGUCAAGUAAGCGACUUAUAUCAGAGAGUGGUCGAUUUAGCCGACGAGUCGAUGGGGUGUAAGCGAGCGCCGGCUGCACGGCCGCCUUUUUUAAUGGAAACCUAGAGAAAAAUUGAGGGUUCUGCCAGCGAUAAACCGGCUCGAUUGAUUCCUCGCGAGCUCCAGGGAGUUCCUCAACCCCUGCGAUUCCCGUUUUUCGCCUUCAGCGAUCGCCUCUUUCCUCUUCCAAUUUUUUUUUUUUUUUUUUUUAUCUCACUUUCCUCGCGUAUGCAUGUUCCCCUUAAGUUUCAUUCGCCUUGAUAAAGCGGCGUGCUUUUUUUUUUCCUUCGAGACUAUCGGGCCUGCCGUAGCUGGUAUCGAUCAUUCGCCGUGUUUCUUCGAGGCACAACUAUCGACUUGUUCCAUCUGAAAUAUUCGAGAUCCGUUUCCGCGUGAUCGAGGAGCGUUUCGCGAGCGGAUUUAACGCUUCUUAGAGCGCGUAUCGCGACGAUCAACGAUUGGCUAGUUAAUUUUCGUUUCAUUUAUCGAACAGACACGAAUUCGUUACGCGUAUUUACCGUCGAGAUCCAUAAGCGAUAAAAUCCUUCGAGUCGUACGAUUGCUUUCACGAGCAGGACAAUUUUGUUAUUGCGUUAUUUGAAUGCAAAGUAUCGUUUUCUUAUGGAAAUCUUCAAAUCGUGCAUCUGGAAUUGCGGUGAUUCUCAGCCAGGGCUGUUUCAGUUUUCUUUCUUUUUCCCCCCCAUGAAACCAUCUUAUGAAAAUAUUCUCACAGCAUCGACAAUUUUAAUAAUUGCGAUUCUUAAAGAAAAACCUGUUUCCUUAAGUAGUUCUUCUUACAAACUUAUUUUAUCCUUAAUUUCCCAUCGUUUCGAAUACGACAAGGUCGCAAACGUCCUCUGGUGGUAGGUGUAAAAUUUAAAUAAUUCAAACUCAUAAGUUACGUGGACUUACGUUUCUCGCGAAUAACCGGUAGAAACGACCCGUCGAAUUAGGGAUUAAAACGUUAAACGGUGACAGAAGAAGAAGCUGUCGUUCAUUAUUCAAGAUUUCGCAGCGGAUCGAAUGGUCGAGUUCCGCUGAUUCAGUAGUAGAGCCGCAUCAUCCGGCAUGAAAAAGAAAAGGGGAAAGAGAGAAAAAAAUACGACAUCUCUAGAAACGGAGGAACUCAAUCUAUAUGCAAAUACGUUCAUCCUUUAUCUCGAGUAUGAGCAAUCGAUGGACGCUUGUCGAGGCCCCUUGUGGUUGCAGCUUCGAAACCAUUGCAUAAUGAGCGAGCCACGGGAUAUCUAAGCUCGGAAAAUAACGUAUAAAUAACACAACUAAUGAGACACUGGCGUAUUGGAUUUCAAGGGAAAGCGGAGCUUUAAUGGCGAUUGAAAUACAACGAUCCUGCGAUCAUGCGAUUUGCCUCGCGAUUCUAGGGUUGUAAAAUGGAAACGACGAUUCGAGGUGGAAAAUAUCCUGUACGAAAGGCGUGUUCAAAGCCUUCGAAUCGAUGCUUUUUAUUUCACCCUUAAUAGUUGGCUUGAAAGCAAAAUUAGAAAAAAAGAAACUGGUUAGAGAAUCAGGAUCUCCUCCUGAUGAUUGUUAUAUCGUUAAAAUUAAAAUUAGCUCUAUUGGUUUUGGGAAGCAGGGUGAUAAUAAAAAUGAAAAUUAAAAAUACCUAUAUAUGUUUAAUUGAAUUCGAAGCUUUGAAUUGACUGACUGGCAAAGAGCAAAAAUCCUCGAGCCAGACGGGUUCUCAUAGUCCUUAUCUGUUUCAACACUUUAUAUUCGCGUAUUGUGUUACGAAUUCCUUUUCGGUCCAGAAGAAUGAAGAAUAAACUAUUUGCCCCUCGGCAUCUUGUUUGAUUGUGAACGUGUUGUUGCUAUAAGAUCAUAUUAAUAAGCUCGAUACUGCGGAUACACUUAUUGUUCCACGAGCGAGCAGCGUUCCUUUUUAUAAUUGAUAAUAUCUCCGCGUUAGUUUACGAUCGUUCGAGAGCAGAAAAUCAUGUUAUACGGCCUUUCACGGUAGCCCCUGUACGCGAAGGCAUUUCGAACUGUUCGCCUAUCGUUAUAAUACUAAUGUCCGCCCACGAUUCUAGCGAGCAUCGUAACUUCCUUCUUCUCCGGCUUCCACGUCCUCUCGACGACGUUUCAUUGACGUAGCAAUACCGUAUCCUAGCUUCCAUCGGUAUUCGCAGACAUUCGCAUACUUCGCGUACGUCGGUUUCCACGAUAGUUGCCGGUGCAAUAUCUGGUAAUUGGUAACGCAAUAUAGAGAUCGAUAACGCGAAUGUUGGCCAAGUGGUCUUCCAACUCUCAUACCGAACCUUCCGGCAAAGUAAUUGAAUUUGCCGCUGAAUUUGAUAGAAAAUAAAAAGGUAACUACGGUUUUAGCCUCUUUGUUCGUUCAAUUUAAUUAAAUCGAGCAACUCCGAUAUUACUAGCUUUACCGUCUUUCGCGAGUCGGGGCGAGUUAGAUGUUAGCGCUGAUAAAAAAAAAAUGCUUAGACCCUUGUCUCGUGACAACCGUGAGGAAGAUUGGUAAAUCCGAAUGUCGGUGUGAAGUGUCCUUAACGCGACAGAAAUUCCCGGGCUGUUCCAUGGUACAAUAUAACAGGAUACGAGAGGCAGACAGUACGACUGGACCACGAGACAUAAAAUCCCUGCUCCGAGCGGAGGCGACCGGGGGACAGGAAAGGAUAAGGCUCUGUCGCCGAAGCUGUUCACCGAUUUUGCCUCCCAGCACACGUGCUUUUAUGGCGUCUCUGUAUGUGUGUCGCAAAUGCAAAAAGAUACGUCAGGAGAAGGCUCAACGAGCCUAUACGACGCGACACCGAAUGGGCGAGCUGGGUGCUUAGGUUCUGAACACCAACGGGAUCCUCCCGGAUAAUCGCCUGCAGCUUCGUAAUAAUUAAGUGGGAUGAAUUGAUAUCGCGACAGAUUUCCUCUGCGCCUCGCGUGAAAACCGUCUUUAACUGUGAUAUUCGCUGGAUUUGUGGCGAACACCACUUCGCGUCGCUGAUAUUUUAAGCGGAUUUUCUUCGCGACUGACGGAUCUAGGGGGAAUAACUUCUUUGGAUAGAGCUGGGUAGACAGAAAGUAUUUUGAAAAAAAUGGAAUAAUCGUAGGAUGGGAUGGAAGAAAGGGUUCAGUGAUAAAUGUUAGUUUCGAGAAAAAUAUUGUUUGAUGUUUUUUAGAUAUAGCGAAGUUGUUGCAAAAGUACCUGUAAUGUUACAGAAUUUAAUAUGAUAUUUCUUCUUUAUAGUUUCAUUAACACGAUCCGAAUUUCAUCCAACACUACAACUGUAAUGUUUGCUUAUUCCUCUCGUGCACGUAUUCAAUGAGACUGCAUUUUCCUGUUAGCGAUCGUCGAACUUGAGGUAACAGAAAAACGUUUUCGUUAGCCGUGAAAUUUAGCGCGAAGCUCGAUAAUGCGGAAGAUUUUCGCUCAACGUCACGAUUCUUGCACGGCGUCGAAAUCCAGGGAAUUCCAGAGUCGUCUGGUAACGCUUGAGAAUUCUGAAUGCGUCGAAAUCGUCGGUGCGUACGUUUUAUCCGCUUGCCGCGUUAUCGCCGCUUCGGCAAGCGUUGCCUGCACGCGCGACCAAGCCGCUGGAACGAGGCUGAAAAUCGAGAAGGAAGAGGCGAUGAACUGUACGAAAAAGGGAGACGUCAAUUCCUUUGACGUCUACGUAAAAAAUAAUAAUCAUUCUUGAGUAACAGCUUGAAUUUUUCAUUGAAAAAUUCUUUACACUAAUUCGAUGGUAUUGAACGAGAAGACCAGCAUGGAAUAUCAUCUAGAAGAAAAGGCAAUUGCCACGAUGAAUAAAUAAUAGCGGAAUAAAAAUCUGAAUGGAAGUUGAAAAGGCUAGGGAUAAAAGCGAAGGCAGAUUCAGGAGAACAAGACAAAGGAAACCGUGAACGAGUGCAUACCUGAAGAAAGGAAGAGUGGCCGGCGAAAAGUGAAAGAAAAACGUAGGAAAGAAUGAACGUAACUGCUUGCAAAAACUUUGUUAACCGUCUCGGAACGGUUCGAGAUUGUAGCUUCUUUGGGAUCGCGUGCGACCGGUAUUUACUUUGCAUAGUUUACGUGGAGGCGCAAAAAAAGCAGGGUAACCGAGAAUGCUGGAAACGCGAUGUAAAUGGAAGCGGGAUCAGCCUCGGUUCGCUGACUCGGGGCAUGAAGAGGAAUGAAAAAGACCGCGGCAAGAAAUGCGGCGAGAGGAAACGGCGAAACGUGGAAGACGUCUUCAUCACGGGGGUUGAAAAAUGAGAAAGAGGGCAGGAAAACGAAUUGACAAUUCCUUAAUAACCCGCGCAGAUUUAUGGUACGCCUCAGCGUCAGCUUAAUAAGCGCGGUACUUUGCGAUCCCGUAACGUGGAUACCCGUCAAAAAAAAAAAAAAAAAUUUGCAAGAAUAAGGUCGUCGAGAGAGAAAGGGAUAAUAACCGUUCGAAAUUGCGUAUAGAAAAGAAAAAGAGAAAUGUAAGAAAGGGAGGUUGAUUAAACUUAUAAAUUCUAUACAAGAGUAUUAAAAAUAAAAGUUAAAUAUAUUGAAAGAAUAAUUUUUAAAGAAACGUAAGUGUAAAAUUUAGAAAAUGAAAAUAAUACAAAAUACGGAAUUAAAUUAAAAUCAUGGCUCUCUCCAUGGUCCGCCAUUUGAGGAUAAAGGUGACAGCUGACAGAGGUGAAAGAAAAGCGGAGGAAUCCCUCGAAGGAAAGAAGCGGCUUAAUGAAUGAGAUUUUAAUGAUUCGACGAUAAUAUAUUGAAUUUCUUCCGGUUGUUUGCCCGGGAAAGAAACGGCGAACGAAGGGUACGAAGCGGAGUUACGUCCGCGAUUCAGCGUAACAGCCAAGACACGCGAGGACGAGAAAAACGUCGGAGCGGCGGUAUAUCUUACGGAAUUACCCUAAAAGGAAUUUCGCGGGUAAUCCUUGCAUCGAGCGGGCCGGAAGGGGAAGAAAAGGGAUAAGAUUCGUCGGGCGAAGAAACAGAAUUGAAAAGAGGGAAAAGUCUCUCCGGGAUUCCUUCUGGCUGCGCAGGAUUCACAGUCGGUUAAGAAAUUAUUCACGCGUUAAUAAACUCCGUUUGGGAAUCGUGUGUAUGAAGAAAGUGAAAUAGGAAGAUUUACGAGGAAAGUUGUACGGUUCCCUUGAUAAGACGGAGAACGAAAGAGGAAUAUCUCGUUCGGUUGGAAAAAUGAAAACGAGUCUGUCGGAUGAGCAAAGAAAGAAGCGACGUAGAGAUUGGCAGGUAGAAAAUGAGGAAAAA
Molecule: non-coding RNA, 6183 nt
Organism: Osmia lignaria (orchard mason bee)
Lineage: Eukaryota; Metazoa; Arthropoda; Insecta; Hymenoptera; Megachilidae
Source: RefSeq, a predicted model, not a curated record